RNAcentral lists this ribosomal RNA (438 nucleotides) under uncultured bacterium. RNAcentral describes it as "partial 16S ribosomal RNA". It matches the Rfam family "Bacterial small subunit ribosomal RNA", at positions 28 to 507 of the family's 1533-position model. The record is from RNAcentral.
AACGAACGCUGGCGGCAGGCCUAACACAUGCAAGUCGAGCGGAACCUUCGGGGUUAGCGGCGGACGGGGGAGUAACGCGGGGGAAUAAGCCCUUGUCUACGGAAUACUCCUGGGUAACUGGGGGUAAUACCGUAGAGGCCCUUAGGGGGUAGGAUUCGGCGGGGGAGGAUGGGCUCGCGUUGGUUUAGGUGGUUGGUGGGGUAGUGGCCUACCAAGGCGGUGUUGGGUAGCUGGUUGGAGAGGAUGAUCGGCCACAUUGGGACUGAGAUACGGCCCAGACGCCUACGGGAGGCAGCAGUGGGGAAUAGUGCACAAUGGGCGGAAGCCUGAUGCAGCAACGCCGCGUGCGGGAUGACGGCCUUCGGGUUGUAAACCGCUUUCGCCUGUGACGAAGCGUGAGUGACGGUAAUGGGUAAAGAAGCACCGGCUAACUACGUG